RNAcentral lists this ribosomal RNA (544 nucleotides) under uncultured bacterium. RNAcentral describes it as "partial 16S ribosomal RNA". It matches the Rfam family "Bacterial small subunit ribosomal RNA", at positions 355 to 914 of the family's 1533-position model. The record is from RNAcentral.
UGGGGAAUAUUGCACAAUGGGCGAAAGCCUGAUGCAGCAACGCCGCGUGAGUGAUGAAGGCCUUCGGGUUGUAAAGCUCUGUCUUUUGGGACGAUAAUGACGGUACCAAAGGAGGAAGCCACGGCUAACUACGUGCCAGCAGCCGCGGUAAUACGUAGGUGGCAAGCGUUGUCCGGAUUUACUGGGCGUAAAGGAUGCGUAGGCGGAUUUUUUAAGUGAGAUGUGAAAUACCCGGGCUUAACUUGGGUGCUGCAUUUCAAACUGGGAAUCUAGAGUGCGGGAGAGGAGAAUGGAAUUCCUAGUGUAGCGGUGAAAUGCGUAGAGAUUAGGAAGAACACCAGUGGCGAAGGCGAUUCUCUGGACCGUAACUGACGCUGAGGCAUGAAAGCGUGGGUAGCAAACAGGAUUAGAUACCCUGGUAGUCCACGCCGUAAACGAUGAGUACUAGGUGUAGGAGGUAUCGACCCCUUCUGUGCCGCAGUUAACACAAUAAGUACUCCGCCUGGGAAGUACGUUCGCAAGAUUAAAACUCAAAGGAAUUGAC